UACGUAGGGAGCUAGCGUUGUCCGGAAUCAUUGGGCGUAAAGCGCGCGUAGGCGGCCCGGUAAGUCCGCUGUGAAAGUCAAAGGCUCAACCUUUGAAUGUCAGCGGAUACUGCCGGGCUAGAGUCCGGAAGAGGCGAGUGGAACUCCUGGUGUAGCGGUGGAAUGCGCAGAUAUCAGGAGGAACACCGGUGGCGAAGGCGGGUCUCUGGGCAGUAACUGACGCUGAGGAGCGAAAGCGUGGGGAGCGAACAGG
Molecule: ribosomal RNA, 253 nt
Filed under: uncultured bacterium
Lineage: Bacteria
Description: partial 16S ribosomal RNA
Rfam family: Bacterial small subunit ribosomal RNA
Source: RNAcentral